RNAcentral lists this ribosomal RNA (439 nucleotides) under uncultured bacterium. Its description in RNAcentral is "bacterial SSU rRNA". It matches the Rfam family "Bacterial small subunit ribosomal RNA", at positions 64 to 507 of the family's 1533-position model. The record is from RNAcentral.
CAGUCACUUGUAGCAAUACAUGGUGGCGACGGCGCAAGGGUGCGUAACGCGUGAGCACAUGCCGUAUCAGGGGGAUAAUCCAGGGAAACUUGGUCUAAUACCCCAUAGCAAUUAUUUGAGGCAUCUUAAAUAUUUAAAGCUUUGGUGGAUACGGAUUGGCUCGCGUGACAUUAGCUAGAUGGUAAGGUAACGGCUUACCAUGGCUACGAUGUCUAGGGGUUCUGAGAGGAAGAUCCCCCACACUGGAACUGAGACACGGUCCAGACUCCUACGGGAGGCAGCAGUGAGGAAUAUUGGACAAUGGAUGGAAAUCUGAUCCAGCCAUGCCGCGUGCAGGAAGACGGCCCUAUGGGUUGUAAACUGCUUUUGUGUGGGAGCAAUAAGGUCUAUGCGUAGACUGAUGAGAGUACCAUACGAAUAAGCAUCGGCUAACUCCGUG